UACGUAGGGGGCUAGCGUUGUCCGGAAUCAUUGGGCGUAAAGCGCGUGUAGGCGGUUCGGUAAGUCCGCUGUGAAAGUCGGGGGCUCAACCCUCGAAUGCCGGUGGAUACUGUGGGGCUAGAGUCCGGAAGGGGCGAGUGGAAUUCCUGGUGUAGCGGUGAAAUGCGCAGAUAUCAGGAGGAACCCCAAUGGCGAAGGCAGCUCGCUGGGACGUGACUGACGCUGAGACGCGAAAGCGUGGGGAGCAAACAGG
This 253-nucleotide ribosomal RNA is filed under the name uncultured bacterium. Its description in RNAcentral is "partial 16S ribosomal RNA". It matches the Rfam family "Bacterial small subunit ribosomal RNA", at positions 524 to 776 of the family's 1533-position model. The record is from RNAcentral.